Molecule: ribosomal RNA, 254 nt
Filed under: uncultured bacterium
Lineage: Bacteria
Description: partial 16S ribosomal RNA
Rfam family: Bacterial small subunit ribosomal RNA
Source: RNAcentral
UACGUAGGUGGCAAGCGUUGUCCGGAUUUAUUGGGUUUAAAGGGUGCGUAGGCGGUUCUGUAAGUCAGUGGUGAAAUACUCUAGCUUAACUAGAGGGGUGCCAAUGAUACUGCAGAACUUGAGUACAGAUGAGGUAGGCGGAAUUGACGGUGUAGCGGUGAAAUGCAUAGAUAUCGUCAAGAACACCGAUAGCGAAGGCAGCUUACUGGGCUGUAACUGACGCUGAUGCACGAAAAGUGUGGGGAUCAAACAGG